ACCCUAUCUCCUAAGCUAACAGCCGCCCAACCCCAAAGAAAAAAGCCAGCGACCGACCCCAAGAAAGAGGUCGUCUCUUUCAACGUUAGCAGCACCCUUUCCAUGCCUCUGCCCCACUUCCAAACCCAUCGCUGCUCCUUCUAUUUCAACCAAACUGCAGCACUCCGCCACAGAAAUCCCUAUGCAUCAAAAAGGAAACACACACCCAUGUAGAAAAACAGUGACCGGAACAAUAACAGAGAAACGGAGGGAAGAAGAGAACGGAAGGAUAGAAAAUUCGGGAGAAAAUAUUGAAGAAAGAAAAAGAAAUCUGGAAAUUUGGGGCAGACACAAAUUUUAGGGGGAUUUUUCGAAAAAAGUUUUUUGGGGUUUCUCAGACAGAAUUUCGGGAAGGAAGAAAGAAAAGCUAGGGUGUGGAAUUUUGAUUUUCCAUCGUUUUUUCUUCUAAUUCUCGGUUUUAGCCCAUUCAGGAAAAAAAAUAUUAGUUCAUUCGAGUUUCAGUUUUAUUUCGAAAUCAGUAAAUACAAAAAAGACAAAUUUCGUUUCUUCUUCUGGAUCUUUGUUUAAAAUGGAGUUUUAGUUGAGUUGAAGUUCAUUUGCCGAUCGAGGUUCGUUUGCGGUCUGUUCGUAUCAAAACAGAUUUCAGUCCGAGUUUUGCUUGAGAUUUUGGUUCACGGUUUUGUCCAUGUUGAUUCUCAUACGUUGAAGUCAAAAACAGUGUUUUCGCUGGUUUUUCAAUUACUAUUAUGGAAUAUUAGCUCAAUAGGUUCUUCUCUUCUCUUAGUCUUAAUCCAGAUUAGUAUGAAUCAAGCCUUGGAUGAGCCACUAAAAGAUGGAGAUUUAACUUUGAAGUGGCGAUUUCUCUUUAUUAUCCCAUAUCGAUUUUGCCUUUUAUCUCUCUUAAUAAAAUGUUUGAUUUAAAGAUUAAAUGUGUUCGAGGUGCACAGAUGUAGAGUGUUGUGUUGAUAUACCUUGAAUCCGGUUUGAUAAAUCGAAAAUAUUCAUAAAUAAACAACAUGUCUUCAAGUAUUUGGAAUGUUAAGUAGAAAAAACGAAGCCAUGUACUUGUUUGUAGGUUUAUCAUUAUAACUGAGAUCCAUGUAGGCAAGGGCGGAUGCCGAGAAUCGAGUAAUUUUUGCGUAAAUUCGAUUUAUAUUAAAAAAUUUCAUUAAAUAUUGAUAAAUAUCUUACUAGAAAUCUAAUUGUUAUUGGGUAUUAAUCUAAAAAUUACUGUAGGA
RNAcentral lists this long non-coding RNA (1238 nucleotides) under Nicotiana benthamiana. RNAcentral's name for it is "long non-coding RNA (NBEN_LNC007469)". The record is from RNAcentral. Lineage: Eukaryota; Viridiplantae; Streptophyta; Magnoliopsida; Solanales; Solanaceae.